RNAcentral lists this ribosomal RNA (253 nucleotides) under uncultured bacterium. RNAcentral describes it as "partial 16S ribosomal RNA". It matches the Rfam family "Bacterial small subunit ribosomal RNA", at positions 524 to 776 of the family's 1533-position model. The record is from RNAcentral.
UACGUAGGGUGCAGGCGUUAAUCGGAAUUACUGGGCGUAAAGCGUGCGCAGGCGGUUGUGUAAGUCUGUCGUGAAAUCCCCGGGCUCAACCUGGGAAUUGCGAUGGAGACUGCACGGCUAGAGUGUGUCAGAGGGGGGUAGAAUUCCACGUGUAGCAGUGAAAUGCGUAGAUAUGUGGAGGAACACCGAUGGCGAAGGCAGCCCCCUGGGAUAACACUGACGCUCAUGCACGAAAGCGUGGGGAGCAAACAGG